RNAcentral lists this ribosomal RNA (398 nucleotides) under uncultured bacterium. RNAcentral's name for it is "partial 16S ribosomal RNA". It matches the Rfam family "Bacterial small subunit ribosomal RNA", at positions 360 to 773 of the family's 1533-position model. The record is from RNAcentral.
AAUAUUGCGCAAUGGGGGAAACCCUGACGCAGCGACGCCGCGUGAACGAUGAAGGCCUUCGGGUCGUAAAGUUCUGUCCUCAGGGAAGAAUAAAUGACGGUACCUGAGGAGGAAGCCCCGGCUAACUACGUGCCAGCAGCCGCGGUAAUACGAAGGGGGCUAGCGUUGUUCGGAAUUACUGGGCGUAAAGCGCGCGUAGGCGGACUUUUAAGUCAGGGGUGAAAUCCCGAGGCUCAACCUCGGAACAGCCUUUGAUACUGGAGGUCUCGAGUCCGAGAGAGGUGAGUGGAAUUCCGAGUGUAGAGGUGAAAUUCGUAGAUAUUCGGAGGAACACCAGUGGCGAAGGCGGCUCACUGGCUCGGUACUGACGCUGAGGUGCGAAAGCGUGGGGAGCAAAC